UGAGGAAUAUUGGUCAAUGGGCGAGAGCCUGAACCAGCCAAGUAGCGUGCAGGAUGACGGCCCUAUGGGUUGUAAACUGCUUUUAUAUGGGAAUAAAGUGAGGGACGUGUCCCUUAUCGCAUGUACCAUACGAAUAAGGACCGGCUAAUUCCGUGCCAGCAGCCGCGGUAAUACGGAAGGUCCAGGCGUUAUCCGGAUUUAUUGGGUUUAAAGGGAGCGUAGGCUGUUUGUUAAGCGUGUUGUGAAAUGUAAGAGCUCAACUUUUAGAUUGCAGCGCGAACUGGCAGACUUGAGUGCGCACAACGUAGGCGGAAUUCAUGGUGUAGCGGUGAAAUGCUUAGAUAUCAUGACGAACUCCGAUUGCGAAGGCAGCUUACGGGAGCGCAACUGACGCUAAAGCUCGAAGGUGCGGGUAUCGAACAGG
RNAcentral lists this ribosomal RNA (424 nucleotides) under Verrucomicrobiota bacterium. RNAcentral describes it as "Verrucomicrobia bacterium partial 16S ribosomal RNA". It matches the Rfam family "Bacterial small subunit ribosomal RNA", at positions 355 to 776 of the family's 1533-position model. Lineage: Bacteria; Pseudomonadati; Verrucomicrobiota. The record is from RNAcentral.